This 253-nucleotide ribosomal RNA is filed under the name uncultured bacterium. Its description in RNAcentral is "partial 16S ribosomal RNA". It matches the Rfam family "Bacterial small subunit ribosomal RNA", at positions 524 to 776 of the family's 1533-position model. The record is from RNAcentral.
UACAGAGGUCUCGAGCGUUAGGCGGAAUCACUGGGCUUAAAGCGUGUGUAGGCGGGUCGUUAAGUGCCUUGUGAAAUCCCACAGCUUAACUGUGGAACUGCUUGGUAUACUGCCGGUCUUGAGCCAGCUAGGGGCUACCGGAACAAAUGGUGGAGCGGUGAAAUGCGUAGAUAUCAUUUGGAACGCCAAUGGUGAAAACAGGUAGCUGGGGCUGUGCUGACGCUGAGACACGAAAGCCAGGGGAGCAAACGGG